Molecule: long non-coding RNA, 569 nt
Organism: Carassius carassius (crucian carp)
Lineage: Eukaryota; Metazoa; Chordata; Actinopteri; Cypriniformes; Cyprinidae
Exons: 3
Source: RefSeq, a predicted model, not a curated record
UUGUAUCAUGUACUGUAAUUCCUAAUGCUACCUCUAGGGACGUUGUAUUGUAAGAAGAAGAAGUGGGUUCAACAGAAAAGAAGAAGAAGGGGGACUGCUUUGUUAGGCAUGGACUUGAUUUCUGCCCUAAAACUUCAAAUAAAAGGUGAUAAUGUCUGCUCCUCGGUCAUGGCCACCAAUACCACAUCCCUGACAGAUACUGAAAUAGGAUGUGUAAAAAACUUUAGAUAUUACAGCUUUUAUCACUCAUGACGGCCUGUUCAGAUACUGCAGGGUUCCCUAUGGCCUGGCGUCGGCACCCUCAGCUUUCCAAAAGAUGAUGGCUACCAUCCUGGAGGGCGUACCAGGUGUCAAAAAUUACCUGGAUGAUGUUAUCGUCUAUGGAAAGACAUCUGAGGAGCAUGACUCGAACCUCAGUACUGUGUUGCAGAAAUUGAAAGAGUCUGGGCUGAUGCUAAAUGAUAAAAAAUGCAAUUUCAAACAGACUUCAUUGCGGUUCCUGGGCCAUAUAAUCAACGCUCAUGGAAUCUUACCUGAUCAAGAGCACCUAGAUGCUGUCCGUGAAGCUC